CACAGGUAAAAAUCGCACAACUUGUCAACAGGCUUGUAGCAAGCUUGUCAACAAGUUGUAACAAUGCUGUUAUUUCAUCAAGUUGCUACAAGGUUGUCACUCGCAACUUGUUGACAAAUUGUUGAAUUGCAGAACGAUAACAAGUUGUUGAAAAAACUUGUAACAAAUCUGUUGAGCUCAACAACCUUGUAGCAAGUUGUCAACUAGCCGUUGACAACUUGUCAACAAAGUGGGAACAAGCAGUGCGAACACAUC
This is a non-coding RNA of Paramuricea clavata, 255 nucleotides long. Lineage: Eukaryota; Metazoa; Cnidaria; Anthozoa; Malacalcyonacea; Plexauridae. The record is from the annotation of a GenBank genome assembly.